GUUUCUAUGGUGUAAUCAUAUAAUAUUUUCAUUAUUAAGAUGCAUUUUUUGCUGGAAAUA
This 60-nucleotide transfer RNA is filed under the name Vaejovis smithi. Its description in RNAcentral is "tRNA-Glu". The record is from RNAcentral. Lineage: Eukaryota; Metazoa; Arthropoda; Arachnida; Scorpiones; Vaejovidae.